Passer domesticus (house sparrow) is the source of this 9887-nucleotide long non-coding RNA. RefSeq lists it as uncharacterized. The transcript is spliced from 3 exons. NCBI's taxonomy places the organism in Eukaryota, Metazoa, Chordata, Aves, Passeriformes, Passeridae. The record is from RefSeq and is a predicted model, not a curated record.
GUGGCCAGCUCGGUGUGUAUCAGCACAGCUUGCUGAAAACCUGGAAGUCUUGCUAAUUCCCACGCUCCUGUUUGUGCAGCUGUGUCUUAUGUACCAGGAGGCAGCACACUCUGCUAUUGUGCUGCACACUAUUUUAUUUACUGUAUUACCACAGUCUGUGACUCACUCCUGUCCUGCGAUAACAAGAAGCCUAAAUAGCACAGAAUUUAAAUUAAUUAUAACUGGUUUCCUUGUUUAUGAAAAAUAGUUUUUGAAGGUUCAAGUAUAAAGGGAAUAGUCAUUCCACCCCUUCUCCCUUCUGACAGUUCCCUGAGCACUCUCUGAAAGACCACUUAUGAGUUCACCUGCAGACCAACCUGACUACUACAAUUUCUAGGCUUUCAUUUGAUCUUGGAGCAAAGCACAACAGGAGGACAAUACUGCUUACGUUAUCUCGAGGCCUGUGUAUAGGAAACCAUAACUAAAGCUAGUAAUUAUCUGGAAGAUCAGGUUGGAGCUCAGUGGAGAAGCAUCUACUGCACGUUAAGAUCAGGCCAAGGAUAACGUCUUUAGACCUGGAUGCAAGUUUUAUUCUGGAGAGAUGACUGAACCACCCCAGGAUCUCAAUGGGAUUAAGAAAUGUACUGGGUUCAUCUCUCAUAAAGUAUUACACACACUUUGGAGAAGAGAUCAGAGAAGAGCUGGGAAGUUCUGUCUUGCAGGAUUUUACUGUGGUUUCUAAAGUUAUAUAAACAGAGCCUGAAAGUGAUAAUGAGCACCUCAGGGACAUGGAGAAUAACUUACCAUAACAGAGAAAAGCAAGUGAUUGGCACAGAUAAACAAGAGCUGCAGAUUCCCUGGAAACGGGGAUAAUCCACCUCUGAGAAGCAGAGCACCGGCCCUCCCGCUAAUGGACUGAAAUCUCUGCGCUGUGCACUGGAUCAGAUUUGCUCUUGCAGCGACCCCAAAUGCCCCAGCAGGCCCUGCCCUGCGCUGGUACAGGAACUGCAGUUCCCCCACGAGAGGAAAUGGCCACUCCGAGCGUCUAAGCGAUGGCUUCGGUCUCAGGGAGUCACUUGUCACCUCGUCUGUGACAGCUUCACUGUCUCCUCUGCAUGGAGGAAGGAAGCCUGGAACUGCAGAGGAAGAGAACGGGCAACAAACCAGCAAAAGGGCUCUGUCAGCUCCUGAGUGGUGCUCAGGAGCGCUGAUCCUGCCGCACUGCCAGGGAUUUGCUCCGAUGGCUGGGCUGCAGAAGCUGCCAGCUAACUAAUGGAUUUGCUCGGAGGAUGGCAGUGGGGGAGGGUGGUUUCUGCAGCAAACAGAAACGAGGAGAACAAAGUGUUUGCAAUUCCUUGGACAGUGAGUGAGCUGACACACGAACUUAUUAACGUGAACACGCAAAAUGCUCAUUUCUCCUCUGGGAGCCAGUGACUAGAGGCAAAGCCAAGUUCUCUCCCUCAAGCUCAGCUGCUUCAACACAAAAAUUUGAGUUAAGAGGCUGCUCUAAGGAUUGCUUUUCCCCAAGGAGAGCUUAGAGCAGUUAUUUUGGGAUAUCUGAAGCACAGGAACAUUCCUGGGAUUCUGCAAUAAGCUUCAGAGUUGGGAAAACAGAAUUUGCUAACCGGCCAUGGCUUGGAAGGAAACUACCAAUCACCUCCAAAAGCCAAAUGUUGCUCUACUGCUGUCCUUCUCAGUGGAGAUGCAAAAGGGUACCGCUGGUGCACUGACAGACAGAAGGCAGCUGUCCCGAUUUCCCUCUGCAUGGCUGGGGAUGCUUCCUGCCACCACAGCCUUACAUACAACGAGCUGUAAUCACCUGCUGGGGAAUUCCAGUGGAGAGCACCAUCCCACAGGAGACUGUGCUGAUGGUCCACCAGCAAGUGCUGCGCUGCUGAUGUGCCAUUUUUGGAAGGAGGUGUAACUAGCUAUGUCACCCCACAGAGCAGGCUGAAAAUAGGAUUGCACUCACUGUGCCAUGUGGCUCAGUGGGAGGGAACUGACCUCCAACAGAGCAGGGACAAAGGAAAAAGUAAGGAAGAUCAAUGUCUUGGGAAGACUAUGGUCCCUGAGGAGGAACAAUAAAAAUGUACCUUUCAGAAUGAAUGUGUGAGCGGAAUAAGGAGCUCAGAGAAGAUAUCUCAUGCAGAGAAGAAAAAACAGAGAGAGAGAGAGAGAGAGAGAGAGAGAGAGAAAAGCAGAUGGUAAGUAGGGAAUUUGCAUCUGUGAGUACUUUCCGGGUGCAGCAUAAUGAAAAAAUGCAGUACACCUCCAGGCCAGCCAGUUACUGAUGCACAGUCAGUGCUGUGAAAAGGACAAGGCAAGGCAGGGCUGGGCUCAGAGUCAGUGUCUGACAGACACUUGCUGGCUUCCUCUUUUACCCAGAACAUCAUUCCUAUCAGGCAGCAUGUGUUCAGCUCCAGCAUCUGGGUUAUGAUUUUUUGGCAGCUGCACAAAAUCUCUGCUAUUAAAUCCCACCUGCCAGUCUCAUGUCUGCUCCCAGAGACCUUUGCCUGUUAGCAAAUGUUUCAAAAUCACACUGCCAGGCACAGCACAUCAUUCUACAAUCCCACCUCAGGCAAAAACCCUCAUGCAAGGUCUCCUUUUAACUUCCGUGGGUUGCAGAAGGGAAAGGCUAGAGGACAGGCCUUUAGAUAACAGACAGAAAUAUUCAUUUAGGUCAUGGCUUGCACUGGAUUCCUUUCAGCACUAAUGUGAAACAGCUAUUUACCCCCUGAAUUAUCUGAAUAAUACUAUUUUGUCUGUGACAUUCUAAGAAGCUUUCUUUUGAGACAUGUUCUGUGAUGCAGCUGCACAGAGAGAAUUUGUGAACUUUGUUCUCUGGAAUCUGUUCAUGUGAAGUUGUUCUUCCCCUCUUUAAAAUUCUUCCCUUCCCUUCUCUUGCUUCUUAGUCCCAGAUGAGCAAUACUACCAGUAUGAUGUGUGCAUACUCUAUGUUGCUCCACUGUUCAAACAGUUCCUUAGUAAACAAAAUGCAGAAAUACAGCUUGCUCAUUUAUCUUGGGUAAGAGAUCUUCUCACAGAAAUAACUGCAAUUUUUAAUUCUGCACAGGGAGAAAGGGCCUAAACUUCCACAUAAAUCAUAUGCUGUUAUAUUUCACAAUCUGAUUUUCCCUGGCAUGAGCCUAGGCAAUGAGGCUGUGCUUCUGGUGCAAAGGACAACAUCUCCUGGAGAUGAAAUCAGCUACUUGAUUAUGGUAUCUCUAAAAUUGCAAACAAAAGAGACAAUCAGUGCUUUUUGAUGUGGACAUCUGUCAGUAGAGAAACAACUGCUAAUUGUCAUGUAAUAAGCAUACCAGACACUUCCAUAGCAGUGAUCUUUCUGGAAGUCAAGCAUGACAAAAAUGUUACUCAUCCAAGCACCAAGCAUAUUUCAUCUGAAUCUGGCUGCAUUUCUGCAACUGUUUAAAACUCCAAAGUGAUACAAUGCUUUUUUAUAGACAGAUACCCGAGAUCAAAAUACUUAGCCAAAAUAAAGCAAUCAGUAAUGGUUUUUGUUGGCAUGUGGUUAAGCUAUCUAGCUUUAUAUUCUAAUAUUUGCAUUUUAGUUUUAGAAGCAAUGUAGGUGUAGUGAGAAGAGGUGCUGGUAUCUCACAUAAAUACAAGCACGUGGGAUUUGUAGAGAAUUGGUUCAGCCACAGAACUAUUCAGCUGCACUUCAUUCAGAGGAGUCCUUGCUCCCACAGAAGCACUGUAGGAGCUGUCAGUUUGGCAGCUACAUGGCUCUACAUGAGCUCUGAGCAAUGUUAAAGCAGCACAAUGCUGUCUAAAAGCCAUGUGCGGGGAGGAAUAGCUAAUUCUCUUUGUGUGAAAGGACUGACUGUAGACAGCCUGCCAACUAUAGAAUCCACACACGUCAUUUCCUAAAGCAUCUGCACGCCUCCCUUGCAGGCAUGGGCUCAUCAGUCCAUCACUUAAUUGAAGAGAAUGGAAAAAAUAGUUGAACCCUCUCCAGGAACAGGUAAGGAGAUAUCUUCUAAUGACUGAACCAGGUUUGAACCCACCAAGAACUUCUUUGGAGUAUCUCUUGUUUAGAUGGCACCCAAGCUCCCUGCACUACAGACCAGCUAUUCUGGUGGUUACAUAGUUUGGCACUAGUCUAAUGAUGGAUACUGUAUUUGGAAUAAACUUUCUUGAGAGCUGCCAGAGAACUGCUUGAUCAUCAGUUAAGAGGGUAAUACCAAUCUCUCAUGAUUUUCAGCAAACCAGUAAAAAAAACUCGACUGCCUAAACAUAAGCUGCAAUCACACAUAAGAUACGUUUUAGCACUGCCCAGAGUCCUAAGCAAGAAAAACAAAAUAACAAACACCAUGAAAUCUUUUUUACCAGUACAGUGAACAGAACGCUUACAGAGCAAUAAAACCUCCAGCACAGUAUCCAUUCUCUAGUCUAGCACAGCCAUUUCAUUUUAAUGAGUUUGGUUUGCCUUUGUCCCAGGAGGAAUGGCCAUGGGUAUAUUAAAUGAACCAGCCUGCAUCUUUGAGGUACCCAGGGAAGCAGCAAUGUGGAAAAGACCCAUGGUGUCUAGGGAGCACAGGAGACAGAAAAUGAGGAUAGGGGCAUCUUCAUUUGCUGUUGUGUCAAAGGCUCAACAAAACACAGACUCCAGCAGCAGCAGCCCCUGAUGGGGAUGAUGUACUUGUAAAACAUUUACAUUUUCAGCAGGAUGUUUCUAAUUAAAUUCAAUUGGUUUGCACACCUGCUGGGAGUGACUGCUCUGCACCUCAUCUCCUGCUUCUACUUGAGCACAGAGGAUGCAACUGCUGAGGCUACCACACAGCACUGUGUUCCUUUUGUGCAGACAGUAAUUGAGAAAAUGGAUGGCAACUGCCUGCUUUGUGUUUGCUACCGUUCUAGGAAGUGCUUUAUUUAUUUUUUUUUCUUUUUCCCUCCAGAGCAUCAGAGGUUUUACAGCCCUUUUGCAAGAGUGGGCGACUGACAGGGCUUUGUGCAGCUUCCUGACUGUAGGAUAUGAGGAUUGAUGCUGGUAUUAAACCCCUCAGGUCCAAGGAAGGUACCUGUACAGAUCCUGACUACAAUCAGAUCACAAGGCAAAGGAUGGUAUUGAAGCAUACCAUGAUCUGUAGUGCAAGACAGAACAGCCAGCUGUCACUAAACUCUUCUUAACCUGUUUUAUGAGCACAGCCUGACUCAAACAUUUUAAGAAAGGGUUUUAUUGAUACUGUGUUAUAUUGUCUGAGGCAUUUAUGGUUUUGCCCAGAAAGGUCUGAGGCAACCAAACCUUCAGAGAAAGCUGCUAUAACAGUGUGGAUAGUCAGCAGGACUUCUGGCUUAUCACUGCUGUCCUAGGCUCCCUUUCUGCAUGUUUAGGGAGCCAGCAGUUGUCAGUGAGAUGUAAGUCAUACCUCAAAAGAAUACUUGAAUGUAAUGGCCCUGUUGUAUUGCGGCAUUGCCCUGCUGUGAAAUGAGAAAAAUGCAUUUACUGUGCUGAGGCAGCAGGUCAGCAUCCCAAAUGUUCUCCCCUCCAACAAGCUCACUGGGUCAGAAUAAUUCUGUUUUGGAUUGUACAGGACAGUCUCCUGGGUAACACGCUUCACAGCAAUGCUUGGGGGGAACACGCCCUUGAGUGCAAGGCAGUCAAUGAGAUUUAUAAUUACUGUGUUUUAUAACCUCGUUCAUUCAGGCAGGGAAGGAUACUGCUGAAGAGAGCUCAAACAAGAGAAACCAUCAAUCUGCAGCUACGUAAAUAACUGAUGGCAAAAUGCCCUCUUUUGUCCACUGUGCUGUCCAGAGUCACACAAAAAAUGCACACGUUAGUUUUAAACUCAGGUGGCUGUAGGAUGUGGAACUCUGACUUCCGCUACCCUCUCCCAGAGAAGGGGAUGUAAAAUCCACUCUGUAUCACUGAAAUCUAACUGCAUUAAGCAAGGUCUUGGCUCAAGGCCAGGUCCCAGCUGUCCCUGCAGUGAUAAUGACCACUCUCCCCCAGGAUGCUGGGCACAGGCAGAAUCCAGCUGCAUUUUCACACAUGUAAAUUGUCUGAAACAUGGUGGUGUUAAUGCUUCUGAGAUGGCAGACCGAACCUAUAGAUCAUCAACAGCAAGCCCCAUACAGAUUGUAUUUUAUUUUUGGAAAAGCCUGGAGGUAAAAAAAAAAAAUCUCCUGGUACAGUUUAUCUGAUGCUUUGUUUUUGAGUGUCCUUGAUGCAUAACAGCAUGCUAUCAUCUCUAAAGAUUAAAAACAAUCCCUUCUUAUUGCUCUGCUGGGUAUUUUCAAAGAAAUUCAUGCACAGAUGAAAACAAAUAAAAACAAUGCCCAGUGGCUCUGAAGAGAUCCUGGGCCUCCAGUUUCAAGUAGUCUGGAGACAAUUUUAAACAUAGACAGACCUACUAAAUCCUUAACUACAGCUCCAGUGAGGACAUGCAGGCAAAACUUCAGUAGCUUUAACAGGGUGAGGCUGGUUGAAGAUUUUCAACAUCAUCUCCAUUUUGUGAUUUUUAGGGUAUAGCUUAACUAAGAUCCAGAGUUUAUCACAUCCAACAUUGGAUUUUCAUUAUUUCUUAAACUGCAGCUUCAAGUUAAAUAACAACACCUUUGUUCAGGCUUGGUUUAAAACUGGCAAAAAUUCAGAGUAACCAGGUUGGUUUUCAGGAUGUUAAAGUCUGGAGUUUAUGAUGGACUAUGGCAAGGGUGGAGAAAGUCACCCUCUUAAUAUCAGUGCAGGACUGGGGCCCAAAAUGACUGAAUUAAAUGCAGUGUAAACUGAGAGGGCCUCAGGCACUGAUGAAGGAACAGUUCAGCUCGCUUCAGUUAACAUGUCUUUUGCUUUUACCCACUUGGCUUCAUUGUUCUGAGGAUCUGGCCCAGUACAAAAAUGAAAUCCCACCCCCCAGCUCCUGUUCUGCUUCCAGCUUUUGCUGCUGGCUAUCUCUGAUGGACAGUUGCAGAAUUUCUUACGGAGAAAUCUAUGUGACACUGCUGCACUUAGAAAAGUCUGAAAAUAGGCUUUUUUCUUUAGUCCUGCUUCUGCACUGACCUUGCUCAGAGUGGAAAGCACUUUGCCAGGAUAUACUUGACAGUUUAGUUUUUAAUGGCUGGGCAAAAUCAUUCACAAGAUCACCAUGAAGCAAAAUAACUCCAGAUGGAACUAGUGUAAGAUGCUUGGGCCAAACACAUGAAGUUGAGUACACGGAUAUUGAUUUAGGGGUGUUUGUGGUGUGGAGGAUAACAGAGAUAAAGCUGAACAUAAAACCAUGCUCUCCUGAUGAUAAGCAGCCUCACAAUGCAGUGUAUCACAAUACACUGAAAGGAGGACACAGCAGGUCAUGUUCAGAUUAUACCCACUGCAGACUUUCAUUGCAUUUUUAGAAAAUCCCUCAUUUAUUUCUAAAUUAAACUUACACCUGCUAUGCACUGCCUACCUUCUUUACUGCAGUUGAAAUUCCUUUGCUUUUAAGUCUGUAUGCUGUCUGGGUGUUGAAAGCCCCCUCAUGUUUUGGACAGUAAUAUAAAAAAUCUCCCCAUGGCCCUCCCUCACCCUCUUUAAGGCAUUGGACUGCUUGUUUAGCUGUGUUUGUUAACCUUGGCCAUCCCCUAUGCUUUGCUGUGAGGCCACUGCUGCUGACCACACUGCUGUUAGUUGGCUAUUUGUGGUGUAAAAGAGCACUACCAACAGCAUUUUAGAUGUGAUAGUACAGCACUGCAGAGAGACAGGCACUUUCAAGGCUUCUUUACCUCUUCUACUUUGCAUGGGAAUUACCGGAAGCACAGUGGCUUUGGUUUGGGAGAGUUAGUUUUAUCUUGUCCCUGGUUUACCUCUUGAAGUUUUCCCAGCAUACUGGGAGAGCUGUGGAAGCAUCAGAUUUUAGUGUUGCACUCAGUGAGGGACUGCAAUGUUCAAGCAAGGUUAUUUAGGCUUGUCAAAAGCUCUAUGCAGCAGUCCUAGUCACCUGGGGAAGGGGGUGGCAUCCACACCCACAGCUGUCCUGUCCUUGAGAAAAACAUCUCAGGCCCAGGUAAGUGUUAAAGGCAUGAUACAGACUUUUAUUUCUUGCCCCAAGCACUGGGAUAUUCUGCCACAGGUACCUAAAAGUCAUCAUAAUUCCUUUUAAUUUGAAAGGUUUCACUUUUCACCAUCUAUGGUAUCUGAGCAAAGGAAGUCUCUCUUAAAGGGAGCUCUCUUCUAAUAGGAGAUGGGGAGAAGCAGUCCUGGUUCUUCUCAAACUGUGACAGGCUCUAUGACCACUGAGAUGGAAAAAGUUUGCAGAUUGUCUAGUUCAAAGUAUGCAAAAAUAGCAGGGCUGCAAUUCCAACAAGGCUGCUCUUCUGUCCCUGUUUGAUGACAGCUUGUGAGAGUGAAAAUGAGUAGUGCAAGACUAAUGAGACUUAAUUGAUUGUAGAAUUUUAGUUGUGUAAAUUUGAUUUGAAAGGACUUGUGCUACAUGUAUAUAUCAUGACUAGUCAUUGCUGCCUGCACUGGCACUACAUUAUGUGAGCAUUCUUAUUCCAGAGACUAGCUGCAUUGAUAAAAUCACUUAGUACAGCUGACCAAGCUAAAUAUAAAUACAUAAAAAAUAGGCUGUCUUUUGGCUCAAGGAUCUCACAUAUACACCAUUUUUACUUUGUGAUGCUAUUUUCGAUGCUUCUAUUUUGUAUUUUCUGGCUUGGGAAAGCUAAUUUCAAACAAUGGGUUACUUGCAAACCACUUCCUUUGAUUGUUCUUCCUUCACUAUUCAAAGUAAGAGAUAAGUUAAAAUUAUAUAUGCUUCAAGUUAGUCUGACUUGCUGUGUCAGCCAGCAAAUAAUAUCGUAUAGAAUUUUUCAGAGAACACAAAACCUAUGAGCUAAGAAACUUUUCUAAUCACUGGUGACUAUGGUGAGGUUAAAAAAAUAAUUUAAAGUUGAAGAAAUGUGAAAUUAACACCUAUCUCAAAUACUUCACAAUCAUUUAUCAUUAGUGGAAAGCAGUCCUGAGCUUUCAAGGUUGCCUGAUAAACACAUUUGCUGUAUUCCAGCAACAGCAAGGAAUACUAAGGUGAGGGUUUCUGCUCCUGAAGCCCAGAAUUCUCCAGGGCUUGUGUGUUUUACUGGUCUCUCUCUACAUUUAUUUACUCUUCUUGCUCUCAAGGCAAGAUGGUUUUCAGGCAAACAAGAUACCAAAUGGUCCAUGAACCUAGUGCCGACAAUACUGCAGGCAAUUUUGCUCUUAAUGUGCAUGAAAUAUGUGUGGAAUCUCUUACUCUCACUGAAGUCACUGGAGAACUGGUAUCUGCUUGUACUGCAGAAGCCUGUCCUGAACUAUCCUCGCAUAAAUAAUCUCAGUUCAGAAAAGAUUUAAAUGCUGUGGAGUCUGCUUGUGUGUUAGCAAAGCUAUAAGCUCUCCUACAACAUCAAGCUUUGAGCCUCACAAUGCAGUGAGGGAUUAUACAGGACUGUAGAAAUGCUUCACUGUGGCAUUUGUUUAAUGUGACCUAGCUUCAUUUGUCUGUAUUAGUCACUCCUGUGCUCUGCUGAGCUGCAAGUGACAGCCUCAAUGACAAAACACCUCUGCUGGCCAAUCUGCCACAAAAAAUUACUAUAAAAAGUAAUUAUAUGAAGUACAGUGACAUCUUCAGAAGCUCUAUAUAUUUUGCUAGAUGCAGGGGAAUAAUACUGCUCUCAAUCCCAUUAGAAGUGCCAAACCUGCUCACCAUUAGCUGCUUUGGGAAACACUGGCCAGGGGAGUAUUUACAUAAGGAUGAAGCUAAUCUUUCUCCAGGUUUAAAAAUCUGUCACAAUCUCAGAGCAGCUUGAGAAUUUAUUUUAGAUGCAAUUCAUAGUUUGUCCUUCACUACCAAUUUGGUUUAGCCAGGGUGGUAUGUUAUGCCAAAUGUGCUGAACAAGGGCUGUACUUGGCUCUGCAAGGCAAGAGAGGCAGUGGGAGGGAC